UUUGAACAACAGGAACCAGUGUCCCUCAGUCAGCAUGUUAGCGCUGGUGGCUUCCUUCCUGACCACGCUGUGGAUUUUAUUGGGCUGUUAACGCUCCGUGCUCCGGGUGACAGGGCAACGAAGCUCUUUUCAGCUUGUUCCUUGUUAUUAUUCAGAAUUAUGCUUCAAUAGGGUAACAAUCAUGUUUAAAUGAGCAAUAAAACAAUGUAGGGCUAAUCUCCGUGCAGUGGCGGAACCAAUAAAAGUGGUCCGUGGACUGCACUGCCUGUAGUUCUGCUCCUGUUUCCAUGGUAUCAGUAACAUUUACUGACAAAUCACUAAAAUGGCUGUUGCCAUUGCAAGACAGUAAACAAUUACAUGAAGCCCAAAGUAUAUAAAAUUAGAGUUAUGUG
Pelobates cultripes (western spadefoot toad) is the source of this 392-nucleotide non-coding RNA. NCBI's taxonomy places the organism in Eukaryota, Metazoa, Chordata, Amphibia, Anura, Pelobatidae. The record is from the annotation of a GenBank genome assembly.